GUACUGAUGAAGGGUUCCAAAAUAGAACGAAACAGCUGUCCGGUAC
Trichobilharzia regenti is the source of this 46-nucleotide non-coding RNA. NCBI's taxonomy places the organism in Eukaryota, Metazoa, Platyhelminthes, Trematoda, Strigeidida, Schistosomatidae. The record is from Rfam.